This 492-nucleotide ribosomal RNA is filed under the name uncultured bacterium. RNAcentral describes it as "partial 16S ribosomal RNA". It matches the Rfam family "Bacterial small subunit ribosomal RNA", at positions 29 to 507 of the family's 1533-position model. The record is from RNAcentral.
AGUGAACGCUGGCGGUAGGCCUAACACAUGCAAGUCGAACGGCAGCACAGUAAGAGCUUGCUCUUACGGGUGGCGAGUGGCGGACGGGUGAGGAAUACAUCGGAAUCUACUUUUUCGUGGGGGAUAACGUAGGGAAACUUACGCUAAUACCGCAUACGACCUACGGGUGAAAGCAGGGGAUCUUCGGACCUUGCGCGAUUGAAUGAGCCGAUGUCGGAUUAGCUAGUUGGCGGGGUAAAGGCCCACCAAGGCGACGAUCCGUAGCUGGUCUGAGAGGAUGACCAGCCACACGGGAACUGAGACACGGUCCAGACUCCUACGGGAGGCAGCAGUGGGGAAUAUUGGACAAUGGGCGAAAGCCUGAUCCAGCCAUCCCGGGUGGGUGAAGAAGGCCUUCGGUUUUUAAAGCCUUUUUUUUGGGAAAGAAAAGCAGCAGGUUAAUACCCCGCUGUUCCGACGGUACCAAAAGAAUAAGCACCGGCUAACUUCGUG